AAUUCGCGGCGCGUCGACUUCGAUGAUACGCGAGGAACCUUACCCGGGCUUAAAUUGCAGACGAAUUACCUGGAAACAGGUAAGCCGCAAGGCGUCUGUGAAGGUGCUGCAUGGUUGUCGUCAGCUCGUGCCGUGAGGUGUCGGCUUAAGUGCCAUAACGAGCGCAACCCUCGUGGUCAGUUACUAACAGGUUAAGCUGAGGACUCUGGCCAGACUGCCAUCGUAAGAUGUGAGGAAGGUGGGGAUGACGUCAAAUCAACACGGCCCUUACGUCCGGGGCUACACACGUGUUACAAUGGGAGGUACAGAAGGCAGCUACCCGGCGACGGGAUGCCAAUCCCCAAAACCUCUCUCAGUUCGGACUGGAGUCUGCAACCCGACUCCACGAAGCUGGAUUCGCUAGUAAUCGCGCAUCAGCCACGGCGCGGUGAAUACGUUCCCGGGCCUUGUACACACCGCCGUCGACGCGGC
RNAcentral lists this ribosomal RNA (471 nucleotides) under uncultured bacterium. Its description in RNAcentral is "bacterial SSU rRNA". It matches the Rfam family "Bacterial small subunit ribosomal RNA", at positions 924 to 1405 of the family's 1533-position model. The record is from RNAcentral.